UCACAAUUUCAUAAAAUCAGAAUCGCUAUUUCUCAAUUUCUUGUGGAUUGAGAACAUCCUGUGGAGUCCGGCGGCGAUCGGUGCAGCGACCUGGUCGGCGAGAUGACAGAGGAGGCGAGAACUGGAGUGGGUGGUCGGGUGAGUGAGGCGGCCGCGAAAGGCGAACUGGAGAGGGAGACGGCCGGAGUUGGGAGUGAGGCGGCAGGCGAGGCGUGCGGGAGAGGCGGCGGCGGCCGGCGGGUGAGGAAGCGGCGAGCUGGAAAUGGGGGAGGGUUGAGGCGGCGAGUGAGCGUGAGUGAGAGUGAGGGAGAGGAAGUGAGGUGAGGAAAUGAGAGUAGAGUUAGGGUUUGACUAUUUUGUUUUUAAUGUUUUUAAUUUUAAAUAUAUCUAAUAUUAUUAAUAAAAUAAU
RNAcentral lists this long non-coding RNA (409 nucleotides) under Salvia miltiorrhiza (redroot sage). RNAcentral's name for it is "long non-coding RNA (SMIL_LNC009795)". The record is from RNAcentral. Lineage: Eukaryota; Viridiplantae; Streptophyta; Magnoliopsida; Lamiales; Lamiaceae.